This 106-nucleotide microRNA precursor is filed under the name Paramuricea clavata. The record is from RNAcentral. Lineage: Eukaryota; Metazoa; Cnidaria; Anthozoa; Malacalcyonacea; Plexauridae.
UGCAACCUCGUACCCAGGGUAUUUUGCUUCCCACUCGGCGAAAAUGGUGAAAAUUCCCAUUUUCGCUGAGUGGGAAGCAAAAUGCCCUGGGUACGAGGUUGCCAAA